Molecule: ribosomal RNA, 425 nt
Filed under: uncultured bacterium
Lineage: Bacteria
Description: partial 16S ribosomal RNA
Rfam family: Bacterial small subunit ribosomal RNA
Source: RNAcentral
GUGGGGAAUCUUAGACAAUGGGCGCAAGUCUGAUCUAGCCAUGCCGCGUGAGCGAUGAAGGCCUUAGGGUUGUAAAGCUCUUUCAGCUGGGAAGAUAAUGACGGUACCAGCAGAAGAAGCCCCGGCUAACUCCGUGCCAGCAGCCGCGGUAAUACGGAGGGGGCUAGCGUUGUUCGGAAUUACUGGGCGUAAAGCGCACGUAGGCGGAUCAGAAAGUCAGAGGUGAAAUCCCAGGGCUCAACCUUGGAACUGCCUUUGAAACUCCUGAUCUUGAGGUCGAGAGAGGUGAGUGGAAUUCCGAGUGUAGAGGUGAAAUUCGUAGAUAUUCGGAGGAACACCAGUGGCGAAGGCGGCUCACUGGCUCGAUACUGACGCUGAGGUGCGAAAGCGUGGGGAGCAAACAGGAUUAGAAACCCCGGUAGUCC